RNAcentral lists this ribosomal RNA (250 nucleotides) under uncultured bacterium. RNAcentral's name for it is "partial 16S ribosomal RNA". It matches the Rfam family "Bacterial small subunit ribosomal RNA", at positions 524 to 776 of the family's 1533-position model. The record is from RNAcentral.
UACGGGGGGGCAAGCGUUGUUCGGAAUUACUGGGCGUAAAGGGCUCGUAGGCGGCCAACUAAGUCAGACGUGAAAUCCCUCGGCUUAACCGGGGAACUGCGUCUGAUACUGGAUGGCUUGAGUUUGGGAGAGGAUGCGGAAUUCCAGGUGUAGCGGUGAAAUGCGUAGAUAUCUGGAGGAACACCGGUGGCGAAGGCGGCAUCCUGGACCAACACUGACGCUGAGUGAGCGAAGCCAGGGAGCAAACGGG